RNAcentral lists this long non-coding RNA (8662 nucleotides) under Populus tremula. Its description in RNAcentral is "long non-coding RNA (PTRE_LNC001667)". Lineage: Eukaryota; Viridiplantae; Streptophyta; Magnoliopsida; Malpighiales; Salicaceae. The record is from RNAcentral.
AGCGACCUCUCCCUUGCACCUGCAACACCAGCCCUCUUUCUCGCUCUUUAAUUUGGAGCCCUGAAACCCUCUGCAAAACUCAUGUUAAAACCUUUGCCAAAACAGCAAAAACCAACAACACAGUUGUGUACCCAACUUUGUCAGUCUGCAACUCAGGCAAGGACAUUUAUGAGCUGCAACCAACGAUGUGAUAUUUCUCAGGAAUCAAAGGUCUUGAUCUUGCAAGCUCAAGACCCCUCAUGCCCUCAUUCUCGCCUAUAAAAAGCCCCUCAAAGACACAUACUAGACAGUAACAAGGCAGAAAUAGAAGUAGAAAACAAAUGCUAAAAGGAUAGAGAGGAUAAAGAGGAAGAGAGGGAAGGCUAGAAAGAUAGAAAAGAACAAGGAGAUUGAAAGAAACGAUAAGAAAGGAACAAAAAGGAGAGAAGAAGGAAGAAAUAACACACUCGGGUCAUGGCAACCAAGGUAGAGCUCUACCAGAGUCCUUUUAGCUUUUUCUUGAGAUGAUUGCAGGCUUCAAAAGAAGGCUUACAAGGGUUUAAAAGCAUUAUAACACCACCAUAGAAGUUUCAGGUGAGGGCUAAUCUUGGUUUGGACAGAAAGGUUAAAAACACGACUACAGUAGCUAGCUAUCAGGGUUUAUAUUCGGGUUUUUGGUUUGAUUCUUUGAGUUCAAAUGGUCUUGGGACAAUGGCGAGUGCUACAAGAAUUAGCAACGACCUCAAGGAGAUAGCUUGUAUACCUCCUAAAGAAACCGUGGAAGCUUUUUUUAUUUCUUGGAAAAAUUUCACAGGAGCGCCAGUAGCAACACUCUUUUAGGUAAGCUCAAUCAUCCCGUAUUUGCUUGAUAAUCAAUCCUUCUAUUUGAUUGUUUUGGGUUUUUGUUGUUUGUGGUUUUAACCUCAAGUAACCAGUUUUGAUUAUGAUGACAUGCGAAGUGAUGAUCUUUCAACAUGAACAUGGUUUGCUAGCAUGAUGUGUGGCUUUAUACUUUGUUCUUAUUUUACUAUUCUUGGUUAAUGCUUGAUGAUAAUAUGGGUAAAAGACCUAGUUUGAUUCUGAAAAUCAUGAAAAAAAUGAGUUUUCUUAACUAUGUUGGUGUGAAUAACAUGAAAAUGAUGUGCUUUAUGUGUUUGGUUCGAUCUAGGUCAUUAGGUUUAGAAGUGAGAGCUUUUCCAUGUUCUUAUUAUUGCUGUAAGUGCAUUAGGGUUUAACCAUGGUCCCAUAAUUCUUUUGGCAACAUUUUUAGGGUUCUUGGAUGUUGGUAAUUUAUAUUUCUUCAAGCAUGAAAUGUUUUUGUUUAGGGUCCUUGGAACAUGUGGCUAGGGUUUGUAGUUGGUUUGUAUUUGUUAAAGAAGUGAAUUAAGUUUGGUUAUUUAGAAACCAAUAAUCAUCAAAGGUGAGUUCUUUCUCAAAGAAUUUUAGGUUAAAGGUUGAAAGAUGUUUCCUUUAAAUACAAAGAAUGCUUGUUUAGAUUGUAAGAGCACGUGGGAAAUAGUUUCUUUUAGAUAAUGGUUAGGUGUGAAGUGUUAAAUACCAUUGAAGCCCAAACAUAUUUUUUUAUGAGACAUCAUGCUUAAAUUAAUUAUUGAUGGAUAAAAUAGAAUAAAAACUAAUUUUAAAAACAGACCUAAAAAAAAUUAAAAAAAAUAAUUGAAAAAAAAACAAGAUCCAAAACAAAAGAAAUAAAUAUUAAAAGAAUGAAGAUUAAAAUAAUGAAGAUUAAAAUUGAUAUAAAAAUAAUUCAAAAUCAAAUGCUAAGAGAUGAAAUUAAAAAUAAAAUUCAAUUACAAAAAGGAUUAAAAAAACAAACAACAAUCAAAUCGAAUGAGGAUCAAAUCUGAUAUAAAAAUUAAAUGAAACCAAAUGAUAAAGAGAAAAAUUAAAGAAAAGAAAUCAAACUAAAAUAAAUAAAAAAAAUAACAAUAAAAAAAAUGAUGAACAAAUUGAAAACAAAAAAUAAAUUAAAUGACACUUUUAUAUUUCAACAAGGGGAAGAGAGAGAAAAAAGAGAUGAGAAAAAAAAAGACCACUAGAGUCUAACCACCACGUCAUUGUACACACGCGCGACUCUAUUAGAAAAAUAACAGUAAGGCGCUUCCAACACCAUCCUUGAAAGCAGAAUUUGGAGGUGGAACGACAUUCCAUGUGUCAUUUGGGGUAUGGUUGUCACUCACUUGUUAGAGCAUACGAGCAACCUUUUUAAAUGUUAUAUUUUAUUAAUCGAAAGACGAAAUCACCUCCUGCCAACUUGUUUAUUAUAAAAACAAAAACCAUCAUGAAAGACAAAAAAGUCCCUUGUAUACUUAUCAUUUGGUUUUUUUUAAGGAUAAUAUAGUUUUUAUACUAUGUUUUUAAAAUGUAAAAAGACCAAAUCUUUCUAUGCAAUCUUUUAAAAUUUUUUAGCUUUUAGAAUAAUCAUUAUAUUGUGAGUCUAAAAUAUAUAAAAAAACUUAAUUGUAUCCAAUUAAUCUUAAUAAACCUUAAAAAAAACACCAUUUUAUCCCCAAUACUAAGGCUAUUAAAUUUUUUGAAAGGACAAAAUGAUAAUUAUAAUAGUAAUUUAUAUUUAGGUGCACUGUAAAUUCUACAUGCAUUUUAAGGUUUUUUUCUUUUCUUUUUCUUUUUGUAAUGAUAGGAAAUUAUGAAGAAAAAAACAGAGAAAUUCCACACAAAAAAAAAAACCACUCGUAACCGGGACCUACAACAAGCAAAUAUGUACUUUGAUAGUCAAAUUAUGAAAUUGUUCUUUUUAUUAAUUAAGAAUGUGUUUGCCUUGUGUUUUAACUGGAAUUUUUUAAAAUUUAAAAUUUUAAUUUGACUUUGAAUUAAAAUUUUUUAUAUUUUUAAAUCAUUUUAAUCAUAUUAAACAUAAAUUUUUAAAAAUAAAAAUAUAUAUUAUUUUAAUAUAUUUUUUAAAAAAUACUUUUCAAAACCAACUUUAUACAUUCGAGUCUCACAAAUUUUAAAAUCAUUAAAGGUUUACAUGAUCAUUAAUUUUAAAGUUUAUAAAAUUAAUCGAAAUACACUUAAUCAAACAUCCAUAUUAAUAAUAAUAAUAAAAAUAUAUCAUAUAUAAAGCGUUAUUUUUCAUGUCAGAAUGUUUGGUCUCUCUCUCUCUUUCUUCACUAGAAAGCGUACACGCAUGACUACAAAAAAGUCACCUUCUGAUCUUUCAGAUUUUGGGCUCUUCCAUGUACGUUUCCACAAGUUUUGGGGUUCCCAGAAAAUUUCCUCUCUCUCCUUCCACAAAUUUGUACUUUCAGUUUUGUUGAUAGCGCAACGGAGAAACACUGAUUCCCAUAUGCUUGGUGCCUUGCAACCUGACGAGUGGCUGAGAGCUUCAUGUGUCCGAUUCCAGGUGAGUUUGCAAUGAACUCAACACAACCCUCCUCCUCCCUCCAUUGAUGCUGCGCUUGAUCAUUACUUAGUUUACAUGAUUACAUGUUUGUGUUGUGUGUGUUGGCAACGAAGAUUGAUCUCCUUUUUCUCUAAUUUCUUGAACUCUUAGAGAUUAUAGACUUCAAAGAUACACGCAACUUACAAUGUUUAUUCACUAGUAAAUAUAUUUUUAAAUUUCAUCUAACAGCUUGAAUUAUUGUGUUAAAUUGAUUAUUUGAUAUGAUAUCAGAGUUUUAAUGAUCAAACGAUCACAAAAAUCAUAUCUUGUGAUCUUACUUAACAUUUUAAAUUAUUGAAUUAAAUUAUUUCUUUUGACAUCCACGUCUUAAAGGUGUCUUUAUUAUUUCGCAAUUCUUUUCCCUUUCCAUGUUCAUCUCUUGCUUCAUGAAACAUGAACGAGUUUCUUGUCUAGAUACCUAGCUAGAGUAGAGAAUUAUUAAUAAUAUGCUCUGUGUGUUCCUGUUGUAUCAACUUCUCCAUUUUUCCAGUGCUGUGAAGAAUAAAUAUAGAGAAAAGAGAGGUAGAUAGAGGAUGGCGUAUAGAAAGCUAGCUAGCUACUACCUCCAUUGAAUUUCAUAGAUUAAUUUGUGGAGCUACGUUAAAGGCAACAAUAAAACAUGCAUCAUCGACCUAAACAGAGUCCACCCACGAGUCAAAUACACGCACUCACACACAUGCAUCAACCUCACAUGCGUAGUAAAAUCCAUCUACCUUUCAUAAUAUAUUGUGUUGCCGAAAACGACAGUACACUCCUAACCCUUUUUUGUAUCUUUCUUCUUGCUUUCUCUACACCAAAAAGCUACACCAUAUAAACCUUUGUCCUCGAGACUAUUUCCCAAUUGCAAAAAAAUCUGGAUUUUUCUUUUUUACUGAAAAAGUAAAGAUAUUUGAGUGUCUCCGACAUUGGUCAUGUUUGUUUUUGCGUUUUAAAAGUAUUUUUAAAAAAAAUUAAAAUUUUUUAUUUACUUUAAAUUAAUAAUUUUUGAUAUUUUUAGAUCAUUUUGAUGCGCUGAUUUUAAAAAUAUUUUUUAAAAAAUAAAAAAAAAUAUUUUUAUACAUUUAUAAAUGAAAAACACUUUGAAAAACAACCGCAACCACACUUUUAAACAGAUAUUAAAUAUCUUCAAUGGUAAUUUUUUUUAAAUUUCACCUUGGAUCUAUAUUGUAACAAGUUUCUUUGCCAAAAAAAAAAGUAAUUAAUUUGGUUUUUUUUAUUAGAUAACUUAACAAAAUUAUUCAAUAAGAUCUCUAAUUGUUUUAGUUAUGAUAAGAUAAAUGACUUACUAAAUUUUAUAGUAGAUUAAGUAUUUUUUUUAAUUAUUAAUAUAAAUAUUUGGAUGAAGUUACAUGCCGUUAACUUCUUUAUAAAGUUAUAAAUAAGGAAAUUAAAAGCAAAUUACAAAACAAAACAAGGUGAGAGUUGUGGUGGGAUCUCUGGCUACAGUAAUUGAUUUGCCCGUGCUCGUUCCACUACAGGAAUGGAUUCAAAGUGUCUAAUAGCGUUGUUGUGAUAAAGUUUUUCUUUUUCCUUAUCUUUUUUAUCACCCGAUUUUGAUUUGACAAAAAAAAAAUGCAAGAUGCUUUUUUAUUUUUUAAAUCUCCUUUUCUUCUUCUUAGAAUCUCUCUAAUAAUACAUGUUAACACACUAAACAUAUCACAGGAUACAUAAACCUUGUCGAAUUCAAUUUCUUUUUUACUAUCCAAGUGCGUAAAAAAAUGAAUAAAAUUUAAGAAAAAAUUCAAAAAAAGUUAUUACAAAGAACUUUAAACAAACAACGACUACUAACACAAAAAACUAUAAUUUCAGUACUUGAAAACAAGUAAAAAUAUUCUAAAUUAAUUUCUUCUAAUAAUUUUUUUUUUAAUCUAAAAACAACUAGGACAGACAUCACAAACAUAUCUAUAAUUGAUCUACUUUAUUUAAUUGAAAUUCAUAAAUAUUAAGAGAAAAAAAAAUAUAAAGUUCAAAAAUAGGGUACGUUGCUGAGCUUGGAUGGAUCAAUGCACCAGACCCAUUAAAAAAGCAGGCACUGGGGAUCCUAGCUAGGCAAGAAUGCUUGACCUUUUUUUUUUUUUCAUGGACUCAAGGGGCCUUCAAUUAUGAAAAAUAAUAAAAACAAACAAUGUAUCAUUUGUAUUUUCCAAAUCUAACCACCGCAAAGGUAGUUGGAAAAACAAGAAGUGAGUUUUUUAACAAAAAAAAAAAUUAAAAUUAUUCUAACCUGAGAACACCUAAAAAAACAACUUUAAGACUUUUAAAAACAAAUUUCUCAACCUCAAAAACCCGUAAUUUGGUCUAAAAAUAUAGAAUUAAACAACAAAAAAUUUUCUUAAUCAUGAUCUGUUGUUUCUAGUAGAAUAUAGAGUAAAAAAAUAUCUCGAUAGAACUCAUCUUGUUAAGAGAAAACUCAUAAAUACUAAAAACAAGUUGUUUUGUUGUCGGAAUAUAUACUAUCAAUAAUUUCUUUUAUCAUGUUUUGUGGCGAUAUUCUCUCAAGUCUUUUGUCAAACCAAGAGCUUAAACAUAAUUGAAUGAAGAUUUAGACCAAAACGUAUAAUUAUCAAACUAAAAGGAUCAAAAUAUAAUUUGAUAAAAAAUAAAGGCAUAACUCUUCAAAAAGGCUCUAAUUGCACAUUGGUGGAGAGGGAAAGGUAUGCAUGUUUUUAUUUUAAACUCAAUUCCAGUCGUUUAACUUUUAUUUUUUAAAAAAAUAAAAACAUUCGGUCAAAAACAUUUAUCUAGAUGAAUCAAUUAUUACACUUAUGUAAAGCAUCAAAACAUCACUGGAAAGUAAUUUUAUACUCGUUGAAAUGAUCAUGGAGGUCCUAAAGUUGAAUGUUCAUCGAAUAAAAUUCUAAUUAAUGGUUUGGAUUGAUAAAUAAAGAAGUUUGCUCUGUUUCUUAGCUCUUUAAAUUCAAGAUUUGAGAUCAAUAUAGAUUACUCUAUCGAAUGUAUAAUAUCAAUAUAAAUCUUUGCAGUCUACGGUGACAAAACAAUUUCUUCUAGUUAUUAGAUGUCAAGUUUUGCAGUGUUCGUGGGAUAAUCUAGGAGAUAAAAUUAUAUUGUAUCUGUGAUCAUGUCCUCAAUCAUAAGAACAACGAUCUUGGCCUAUAUGAUGGUGUUCUCUCUUUUAAAUCUUUCUAGGGCUAGGCUAGACAUGGUUUCUGUUUUUCUGGUUAUUUCUCCAUCCUAUAACUCCUGGUGAUUUCUUAAAAAACCAUAAAUCCUGAGGGAUUUCAUGCUUGAAUUGUUCCUGAACCUUCGUCUAAAGAGCUAACCCUAGAUGGUACGUGAAGGCAAGAUGCUAUUCAUAAAACAAUUAGUAUCAGGAAUUUCAGAUAGUGGUAAUGGUAUAUGGUUCUGGAAUACCCUCCACUAAGGCUAGUUUCCAUCUUAAAAGCUUUCUUUGUGUACACAUACAAGUUUCUAUAUGUACAUAUAGUGUGUAUGUGUGUAUACAGUUUCCAUCGUUUCCAUCUUAAAAGCAUCCUUUUUAUACAGAUACAAAUUUUUAUAUGUGUGUGUGUUAGUAGAAAUUUGUACAUAUAUGUGUCUAGUAAUACGAUUCAAAGUGUUUUUCAAAUCUAAAACGAUAUUAAAUUGAUGAUUUUAUGUGUUUUUAGAUGAUUUUGAUAUGUUAUUGUAAAAAAUCUUAAAAAAUAUUAAUUUGAUGUAUUUUUAAUUAAAAAAUACAUUGCACCGCGUUACCAAGCACAUGCUUAGAUAGUGUUUGUAGGUGUUGUAACAGUUACUUCUCAAAGUGUUUUUCAUUUUUCAGUAUAUCCAAACAAUUAAAAAAACAUCAAUAAAUAAUCAAUUUCAAGCAAUACGAAUUUAAAAAAUCACAAAACAUGAUUUCAACUAUAAAAACAAACACCCCACUUAUUAAUGAAUAGUGAAGGAAAGUCUAUGCAUGUACUACGGCUACAUAAUGCAGUACAUAUAAAACUAUAGAAUGGUAUUACAUCCUUUUUAUGAAAUUAGACAUGGAUAUUUCAGCUAAAUUUUAAGAAGGCGCAUGCACGCACCACGGCUACAAAAGUUAAAAUACGGUACUAUAAACAUUUAAAAUGGUAGUGUAGGACUACCAGUUAAUAAUUAGUAGUAUAUUUUCACACAGAAAUAUUUUCCUAUCAUGCUUAUUAAUCAUGUGAAAAUAGAUGUGAAUGUCUACUCCAAAUUCCUCUAACAUUGUUGAUGAAUCAUUUCCCAAGUCGAAAAGCUUCCUUUUGCUCUUUAUUUCCCCUUUAUUUAUGCCUUUUAAAGGCUAAAUAUCCAAAACUACCUUAAAUUUUAGGUCAAACCAAACUUAGUUUUUUAAAUUUAUUUUUUUAUUCGAGAACAUAAACUAUUUUUUUUUGUUAAAAAUAAGCCUUUUGUGUCCAAGUUUUCAUCCCUUCAUUAAUCCUUUUAUUUUUUAUUCUUAAAUCAUGUAUUUUCAUGACACAUUUUGUGUUUUUAGAUUAUCACAUGCACUCAAAAUUAAUAAAAAAAGGCUUAUUUUUUAUAUAAAAAAUAGUUUAAAGUAUUCAAAUAAUAAUAAAAAAAAGUUCGAGGGUUUUUAUUUUUUCAUUUAACCUCUUUUAAAUUGCCUCGAAACGUUGCGAAAGCUUCUUUUUCCAAUGCAAAGUGUUCUUUUACAUUUUAACCACAGAUUUAAACUAUGGUUUCUUAUAUCAGCUCCCUUUGUCUAUGUCUUUGUCGUCUAUUCUGAGCGCCAACAAAAACAUUAAUGUAAUUAUAGAUGUUCUUGUUUAUAUAUGUUGUAUUAGUAAAUACAUUUUCUCGUAUUAAUUACCUUUUCACUAACAUAUCGAUAUAAGAAUUAGCUGUCAUAAUUAGGAGUCUGAUCCACAGACUUUCCGAAUGAACUAAAGAGAAUAGGGUUUGUGUGUGUAAGAGAGGGAGAUUGAACCGCAUACAUUUCAUAAUUUGCAAGACGUAGAACACUAAUUUGACCUUGGCUAGUAUGGAACAAAGUUCAUAUACAGCAAUGCAUAGAGUACGCGAUACAUUUUACCUUAAACAAUCAUCACACGUAGAAUUUCGAGAAGCAAGAAUAUUGUUAUAAGCACACUGAAUUACUGGAACAACACAAUACAAUUACAUGAUACAUACCGUUAAUCACACCCGUUUGAUUUUCUUUAAGCACUUGUGGUGCAGGAUUGAGUUCAAACUGGAAGACGAUUUGAAGCCCCACCCACGCCCUUGUCACCUAAGGCUGCCAUUGGAGGCGAGACUUCAGCUUCCCAAACGUUU